AUUGAACGCUGGCGGCAUGCCCUACACAUGCAAGUCGAACGGCAGCACGGGAGCAAUCCUGGUGGCGAGUGGCGAACGGGUGAGUAAUGUAUCGGAACGUGCCUUGUCGUGGGGGAUAACGUAGCGAAAGCUACGCUAAUACCGCAUACCAUCCAAGGAUGAAAGCGGGGGAUCGCAAGACCUCGCGCGACAAGAGUGGCCGAUAUCAGAUUAGGUUGUUGGUGGGGGUAAAGGCCUACCAAGCCGACGAUCUGUAGCUGGUCUGAGAGGACGACCAGCCACACUGGGACUGAGACACGGUCCCGACUCCUACGGGGGGCAGCAGUGAGGAAUAUUGGGCAAUGGGCGGAAGCCUGACCCAGCAACGCCGCGUGGAGGAUGAAGGCC
This 387-nucleotide ribosomal RNA is filed under the name uncultured bacterium. RNAcentral describes it as "bacterial SSU rRNA". It matches the Rfam family "Bacterial small subunit ribosomal RNA", at positions 29 to 416 of the family's 1533-position model. The record is from RNAcentral.